RNAcentral lists this ribosomal RNA (497 nucleotides) under uncultured bacterium. RNAcentral describes it as "partial 16S ribosomal RNA". It matches the Rfam family "Bacterial small subunit ribosomal RNA", at positions 28 to 507 of the family's 1533-position model. The record is from RNAcentral.
GAUGAACGCUGGCGGCGUGCCUAAUACAUGCAAGUCGAGCGAACGGACGAGAAGCUUGCUUCUCUGAUGUUAGCGGCGGACGGGUGAGUAACACGUGGAUAACCUACCUAUAAGCCUGGGAUAACUUCGGGAAACCGGAGCUAAUACCGGAUAAUAUUUUGAACCGCAUGGUUCAAAAGUGAAAGACGGUCUUGCUGUCACUUAUAGAUGGAUCCGCGCUGCAUUAGCUAGUUGGUAAGGUAACGGCUUACCAAGGCAACGAUGCAUAGCCGACCUGAGAGGGUGAUCGGCCACACUGGACCUGAGGCACGGUCCAGGCUCCUGCGGGAGGCAGCAGUACGGAAUCUUCCGCAAUGGGCGAAAGCCUGACGGAGCAACGCCGCGUGAGUGAUGAAGGUCUUCGGAUCGUAGAGCUCUGUUAUUAGGGAAGAACAUAUGUGUAAGUAGCUGUGCACAUCUUGACGGUACCUGAUCAGAAAGCCACGGCUAACUACGUG